Molecule: ribosomal RNA, 813 nt
Filed under: uncultured bacterium
Lineage: Bacteria
Description: bacterial SSU rRNA
Rfam family: Bacterial small subunit ribosomal RNA
Source: RNAcentral
AGAGUUUGAUCAUGGCUCAGGACGAACGCUGGCGGCGUGCCUAAUACAUGCAAGUUGAACGCUUGAUUUUCACCGAAGCUUGCUUCACCGAGAAUCAAGAGUAGCGAACGGGUGAGUAACGCGUGGGUAACCUACCUAUCAGCGGGGGAUAACUAUUGGAAACGAUAGCUAAUACCGCAUAACAAUGUUGGAUGCAUAUUCGACAUUUGAAAGUACUAACUGGUACACUGAGAGGUGGACCCGCGUUGUAUUAGCUAGUUGGUAGUGUAAUGGACUACCAAGGCGAUGAUACAUAGCCGACCUGAGAGGGUGAUCGGCCACAUUGGGACUGAGACACGGCCCAAACUCCUACGGGAGGCAGCAGUAGGGAAUCUUCGGCAAUGGACGAAAGUCUGACCGAGCAACGCCGCGUGAGUGAAGAAGGUUUUCGGAUCGUAAAACUCUGUUGUUAGAGAAGAACGUUGCAUAGAGUGGAAAAUUAUGCAAGUGACGGUAUCUAACCAGAAAGGGACGGCUAACUACGUGCCAGCAGCCGCGGUAAUACGUAGAUCCCGAGCGUUGUCCGGAUUUAUUGGGCGUAAAGCGAGCGCAGGUGGUUUAAUAAGUCUGAUGUAAAAGGCAGUGGCUCAACCAUUGUGUGCAUUGGAAACUGUUAGACUUGAGUGCAGUAGAGGAGAGUGGAAUUCCAUGUGUAGCGGUGAAAUGCGUAGAUAUAUGGAGGAACACCGGUGGCGAAAGCGGCUCUCUGGACUGUCACUGACACUGAGGCUCGAAAGCGUGGGUAGCAAACAGGAUUAGAUACCCUGGUAGUCC